RNAcentral lists this ribosomal RNA (253 nucleotides) under uncultured bacterium. Its description in RNAcentral is "partial 16S ribosomal RNA". It matches the Rfam family "Bacterial small subunit ribosomal RNA", at positions 524 to 776 of the family's 1533-position model. The record is from RNAcentral.
UACGUAGGGUGCGAGCGUUACUCGGAAUUACUGGGCGUAAAGCGUGCGCAGGCGGUUUUGUAAGUCAGGUGUGAAAUCCCCGGGCUCAACCUGGGAAUGGCAUUUGGGACUGCAAGGCUGGAGUGUGGCAGAGGAGACUGGAAUUCCUGGUGUAGCAGUGAAAUGCGUAGAUAUCAGGAGGAAUACCGAUGGCGAAGGCAGGUCUCUGGGCUGACACUGACGCUCAUGCACGAAAGCGUGGGGAGCAAACAGG